RNAcentral lists this ribosomal RNA (2933 nucleotides) under Escherichia coli. RNAcentral's name for it is "23S ribosomal RNA". It matches the Rfam family "Bacterial large subunit ribosomal RNA". The record is from RNAcentral. Lineage: Bacteria; Pseudomonadati; Pseudomonadota; Gammaproteobacteria; Enterobacterales; Enterobacteriaceae.
GGGUUGUGAGGUUAAGCGACUAAGCGUACACGGUGGAUGCCCUGGCAGUCAGAGGCGAUGAAGGACGUGCUAAUCUGCGAUAAGCGUCGGUAAGGUGAUAUGAACCGUUAUAACCGGCGAUUUCCGAAUGGGGAAACCCAGUGUGAUUCGUCACACUAUCAUUAACUGAAUCCAUAGAUUAAUGAGGCGAACCGGGGGAACUGAAACAUCUAAGUACCCCGAGGAAAAGAAAUCAACCGAGAUUCCCCCAGUAGCGGCGAGCGAACGGGGAGCAGCCCAGAGCCUGAAUCAGUGUGUGUGUUAGUGGAAGCGUCUGGAAAGGCGUGCGAUACAGGGUGACAGCCCCGUACACAAAAAUGCACAUGCUGUGAGCUCGAUGAGUAGGGCGGGACACGUGGUAUCCUGUCUGAAUAUGGGGGGACCAUCCUCCAAGGCUAAAUACUCCUGACUGACCGAUAGUGAACCAGUACCGUGAGGGAAAGGCGAAAAGAACCCCGGCGAGGGGAGUGAAAAAGAACCUGAAACCGUGUACGUACAAGCAGUGGGAGCACAGAGCAAUCUGUGUGACUGCGUACCUUUUGUAUAAUGGGUCAGCGACUUAUAUUCUGUAGCAAGGUUAACCGAAUAGGGGAGCCGAAGGGAAACCGAGUCUUAACUGGGCGUUAAGUUGCAGGGUAUAGACCCGAAACCCGGUGAUCUAGCCAUGGGCAGGUUGAAGGUUGGGUAACACUAACUGGAGGACCGAACCGACUAAUGUUGAAAAAUUAGCGGAUGACUUGUGGCUGGGGGUGAAAGGCCAAUCAAACCGGGAGAUAGCUGGUUCUCCCCGAAAGCUAUUUAGGUAGCGCCUCGUGAAUUCAUCUCCGGGGGUAGAGCACUGUUUCGGCAAGGGGGUCAUCCCGACUUACCAACCCGAUGCAAACUGCGAAUACCGGAGAAUGUUAUCACGGGAGACACACGGCGGGUGCUAACGUCCGUCGUGAAGAGGGAAACAACCCAGACCGCCAGCUAAGGUCCCAAAGUCAUGGUUAAGUGGGAAACGAUGUGGGAAGGCCCAGACAGCCAGGAUGUUGGCUUAGAAGCAGCCAUCAUUUAAAGAAAGCGUAAUAGCUCACUGGUCGAGUCGGCCUGCGCGGAAGAUGUAACGGGGCUAAACCAUGCACCGAAGCUGCGGCAGCGACGCUUAUGCGUUGUUGGGUAGGGGAGCGUUCUGUAAGCCUGCGAAGGUGUGCUGUGAGGCAUGCUGGAGGUAUCAGAAGUGCGAAUGCUGACAUAAGUAACGAUAAAGCGGGUGAAAAGCCCGCUCGCCGGAAGACCAAGGGUUCCUGUCCAACGUUAAUCGGGGCAGGGUGAGUCGACCCCUAAGGCGAGGCCGAAAGGCGUAGUCGAUGGGAAACAGGUUAAUAUUCCUGUACUUGGUGUUACUGCGAAGGGGGGACGGAGAAGGCUAUGUUGGCCGGGCGACGGUUGUCCCGGUUUAAGCGUGUAGGCUGGUUUUCCAGGCAAAUCCGGAAAAUCAAGGCUGAGGCGUGAUGACGAGGCACUACGGUGCUGAAGCAACAAAUGCCCUGCUUCCAGGAAAAGCCUCUAAGCAUCAGGUAACAUCAAAUCGUACCCCAAACCGACACAGGUGGUCAGGUAGAGAAUACCAAGGCGCUUGAGAGAACUCGGGUGAAGGAACUAGGCAAAAUGGUGCCGUAACUUCGGGAGAAGGCACGCUGAUAUGUAGGUGAAGUCCCUCGCGGAUGGAGCUGAAAUCAGUCGAAGAUACCAGCUGGCUGCAACUGUUUAUUAAAAACACAGCACUGUGCAAACACGAAAGUGGACGUAUACGGUGUGACGCCUGCCCGGUGCCGGAAGGUUAAUUGAUGGGGUUAGCGCAAGCGAAGCUCUUGAUCGAAGCCCCGGUAAACGGCGGCCGUAACUAUAACGGUCCUAAGGUAGCGAAAUUCCUUGUCGGGUAAGUUCCGACCUGCACGAAUGGCGUAAUGAUGGCCAGGCUGUCUCCACCCGAGACUCAGUGAAAUUGAACUCGCUGUGAAGAUGCAGUGUACCCGCGGCAAGACGGAAAGACCCCGUGAACCUUUACUAUAGCUUGACACUGAACAUUGAGCCUUGAUGUGUAGGAUAGGUGGGAGGCUUUGAAGUGUGGACGCCAGUCUGCAUGGAGCCGACCUUGAAAUACCACCCUUUAAUGUUUGAUGUUCUAACGUUGACCCGUGAUCCGGGUUGCGGACAGUGUCUGGUGGGUAGUUUGACUGGGGCGGUCUCCUCCUAAAGAGUAACGGAGGAGCACGAAGGUUGGCUAAUCCUGGUCGGACAUCAGGAGGUUAGUGCAAUGGCAUAAGCCAGCUUGACUGCGAGCGUGACGGCGCGAGCAGGUGCGAAAGCAGGUCAUAGUGAUCCGGUGGUUCUGAAUGGAAGGGCCAUCGCUCAACGGAUAAAAGGUACUCCGGGGAUAACAGGCUGAUACCGCCCAAGAGUUCAUAUCGACGGCGGUGUUUGGCACCUCGAUGUCGGCUCAUCACAUCCUGGGGCUGAAGUAGGUCCCAAGGGUAUGGCUGUUCGCCAUUUAAAGUGGUACGCGAGCUGGGUUUAGAACGUCGUGAGACAGUUCGGUCCCUAUCUGCCGUGGGCGCUGGAGAACUGAGGGGGGCUGCUCCUAGUACGAGAGGACCGGAGUGGACGCAUCACUGGUGUUCGGGUUGUCAUGCCAAUGGCACUGCCCGGUAGCUAAAUGCGGAAGAGAUAAGUGCUGAAAGCAUCUAAGCACGAAACUUGCCCCGAGAUGAGUUCUCCCUGACUCCUUGAGAGUCCUGAAGGAACGUUGAAGACGACGACGUUGAUAGGCCGGGUGUGUAAGCGCAGCGAUGCGUUGAGCUAACCGGUACUAAUGAACCGUGAGGCUUAACCUUACAACGCCGAAGGUGUUU